UGAGUAACCUGCCCUUAACUCUGGGAUAAGCCUGGGAAACUGGGUCUAAUACCGGAUAUGACCUCCUGUCUCAUGGCGGGGUGGUGGUAAAGUUUUUUCGGGUGGGGGAUGGACUCGCGGCCUAUCAGCUUGUUGGGUGGGGUGAUGGCCUACCAAGGCGACGACGGGUAGCCGGCCUGAGAGGGCGACCGGCCACACGUGGGACUGAGACACGGCCCAGACCUCCGUACGGGAGCAG
This 238-nucleotide ribosomal RNA is filed under the name uncultured bacterium. RNAcentral's name for it is "partial 16S ribosomal RNA". It matches the Rfam family "Bacterial small subunit ribosomal RNA", at positions 118 to 347 of the family's 1533-position model. The record is from RNAcentral.